Molecule: unclassified non-coding RNA, 869 nt
Filed under: uncultured fungus
Lineage: Eukaryota; Fungi
Description: sequence contains 18S rRNA gene, ITS1, 5.8S rRNA gene, ITS2, 28S rRNA gene
Source: RNAcentral
AGGGGUUGGCGGGUGUCAAGACCGUGCGCGCCUCGUCGAUGUUUGGCUUCACGUUCAUGACGGUCAUCUUCGACGAAGGGAUCGACAACUACUUCGCCCGGUCGCGCGUCCUCGAACGCCUGAAUUACCUGGGUGACCUCCUUCCGAUCGGCGUCGUGCCCAAACUGGGACCGGACGCCACGGGCUUGGGCUGGGUCUAUCAGUACUAUCUGGCGGUCGAUCCGACGCUGGCUCCCGAGGGCGGUUAUGACCUGUCGCAGUUGCGCGCGCUGCAGGACUGGUUCAUCCGCUACCAACUCAAUGCGGUGUCGGGUGUCGCCGAGGUAGGCAGCAUUGGCGGCUUCGUGCGCCAGUACCAGGUCGAGGUCUCGCCCACGCGCAUGCGGACGCUCGAGGUGUCUCUGCAGGACGUCUUGGAGGCGGUGGAACAAAGCAACCUCAACGUCGGCGGCAAAGUCAUCGAAGAAGGCGGCAUGGAGUUCGUCGUGCGCGGCCUCGGCCUGAUCGAAUCGAUCCGGGACCUGGAGAACGUCGUCGUGAAGGAGAGCGGCGGCACGCCGAUCUACCUCCGCGACCUGGCGGCGAUCCAGUUGGGCGGCGAAUUCCGCCGGGGCGCCCUCGACGUGGACGGCCGGGAAGUUGUCGGCGGCGUGGUGGUCAUGCGCAACGGGGAGAACGGGCGGGCGGUCAUCCAGCGCGUGAAGGAGAAGAUCGCGCAGAUCACGCCGAGUCUUCCGCCCGGCGUCCGCAUCCAGUCGUUCUACGAUCGGAGCACGCUCAUCGAGCGGACGAUCGCCACCCUGAAACGGGCGCUGGCCGAGGAGAUCCUUCUGGUGGCGUUGGCCCAUAUCGUCUUCCUCUGGCACUUC